Molecule: long non-coding RNA, 1133 nt
Organism: Lynx canadensis (Canada lynx)
Lineage: Eukaryota; Metazoa; Chordata; Mammalia; Carnivora; Felidae
Exons: 2
Source: RefSeq, a predicted model, not a curated record
CGUAAAUCGCUUGCCGCAGGCAGCACAGCGCCAGCCGCUCGUCCCCGUGCACCUUGCAGUCGAGUGGCGCUCGAAGGCGCGGCCGUGUGCACCACCUCGUGGCUCAGCAGCUUCCACGCGCGCUUGAAGGCUUUCCCGCAGGCCUCGCGGCCAAACCACCCCGCCCGGACCUCAGAGCCGGGGACGAGAGAGCCGGGCGCCUUCACUUUGGCGGAGGCGCGCCUCGGCCGCGGCGUCGGGGACCCGGCGAGGGAUCGAGUACGCCCGGUGUUCAUGGACGAGCUGCACCAGGGCCAGAGCCUCCGCCCCGCCUCCUCCGGGCGCCUGGGAGAGGAGAGAGGGCUCAGUCCCUGGUCAUCUCCAUCCCACACCUGCAGGGCAGAAACCUGCUCCUCCCGCUCAUACCCCUUCAUCGAAUCCCUCCGAUGUUGGCUCUAUCCGGAAAGUCCAGAAUCCGGCUACUUCUCACUCUCUCCCCGGCCGCCUCCCCUAAGCUCAAAUCCUCUCUGACCCCAAGCGAGGACGCCUGUUGCCUGUCUGGACCUCCCGCCUCAGUCCUCGACCCCCAGGCUCCAGAUCCGUCCACUGGAUUGCCUCUGCAGGAACAUGGCCCCUUGGACGUCUCCAGCGCCCUCCGGAGGUGGGCAGCCCCAAGCCAUACUCGAUGCUCAUUGACCACCCCCACCCCCGCCCCAACCUGCCCCAUCUCUGUUUCAUUUUCAAAACUUCAGAUCAGAUCACCCCCUCCCCUGCUUGAAAGCUUUUCCUUUCCCAGGACUCCCCAAUCCCACUACAGGUACCCCCUCACCCCCAGAGUUCACGCCACACUGUGGGCUGGGCAAUCAGACCCUUGGACCUCAUCUUCUGGUCCCUCUUGUCCUCCUCGGCCUUAGUCACUCUGGGCAUCGUCAUCGCACAAAAGCCACUGAAUGGGGCAGAGGGUUGACGGUCAGCCUCGUCCUGCAGGUCCCUGUCGGUGCCAACCCCCAGCCGCAGGGCCAGGAUCUGAAUAACUUAAGCACAGAUCUCUCCACAAACCGUUCUGCCAUCAUCCAACCUCUUCCUACAGGGUGGUUACAAAGCACUGCAUUGUUCUUAGCGUUCAAGGGGAAGGAAAAAAUAUCCUCUAAUUG